GGCCCCGACUGUGGAACUUCUAUCUUGGGUUCAGAAAAGCGCUAUUACAGUGUCUCCCAACUCUCACCUGCUGUUGUCUCCCAGUUUAGCUGUAGUUGGCAUGACUUGCCAUCUCCAGUUGGGGGAUAAGAACCAGCACUCCCGCACAACACGUACACUGACGAGCAAAUUCCUAACACAAACUAUAACGUGACAAAGACCUCCAGGAAUACAGUGUUUCAGUGAUGGAGCUGCGGGGUUUUGGGGACCCUACUUAAGUUUCGGCACACCACCCGCCAAGAUAAUCCAGUGGUCGCAAGAGACUUGGAAGUUGUUCAGCAAGUGGUACAAGAGCGAUCAGCCGAUGGGUGUCUCGCUUGUGUACGGGGAAAGCAUCUGCCGCGACCCUCUACCGCUGGAACCCUGGCGACACCUUCCCUUAGCCUACCGUCAGCUGAAUUACCAUGAGUAUACCAAACAUGGCCCAGAGUACCGGUAAGUAGCCUACCAGUGUACUGCGCAC
This 502-nucleotide unclassified non-coding RNA is filed under the name Homarus americanus (American lobster). RNAcentral describes it as "d-amino-acid oxidase-like, transcript variant X2". Lineage: Eukaryota; Metazoa; Arthropoda; Malacostraca; Decapoda; Nephropidae. The record is from RNAcentral.